Salmo salar (Atlantic salmon) is the source of this 73-nucleotide non-coding RNA. Lineage: Eukaryota; Metazoa; Chordata; Actinopteri; Salmoniformes; Salmonidae. The record is from Rfam.
GCAGCUGUAGCUCAGUUGGUAGAGCAUGGUGUUUGCAAUGCCAGGGUUGUGGGUUUGAUUCCCACGGGGGGCC